Anthonomus grandis grandis is the source of this 690-nucleotide long non-coding RNA. RefSeq lists it as uncharacterized. Lineage: Eukaryota; Metazoa; Arthropoda; Insecta; Coleoptera; Curculionidae. The transcript has 3 exons. The record is from RefSeq and is a predicted model, not a curated record.
GUUUGUUUAGUCACACCUCGCACCAAAAUUAUUAAUGGGAUAAAGUAUUGCGUAUUAGUGCAUUGGUUAAGUGAAUUUUGUUCAUCUUGUUUAAGUUUUUGUGAUAAUACAGGUCCAAAUAAAUUUAAACGACAACGAUGUUUAUCCCGACAGUUUGCCACUAACGCUUAUAAUUCUAAAGCAAGAACACAAAAAUUGCUUUUAUGUUUUGGUUGAACGUCAAAUAAUACAGGCACAUGGCUACACCACUUUUCUGGAGGCCCUAAAAGUUCUUCUUGCCUUGUACUUUGUACUAAUCUCGGUUUACCCGAAAAAACUAGAAACUACCCUCCAAAUUGGAAUUUCUUCAAAGAUAUUUUCUAAAACUUCACCCCGAUCAGGGAAGUAAAGCCAGGCAGGUAUCUAAUAGCCUAAAGAAGGUUUUUUUGUCUAAUGAAUUCAAUAAAAAAUAAAAAACAUAAUAAGUACCUAUAAUAUAUAUUUGUUAUAUUAUUAUGCAUAAUAUGUAUAUUUUUUAUGUAGAAAAAAUUUUUUUUUGUUAACAUGUUACAUGCCAUGUAAUGUUAUUUAUUUUGUUUACGUAUAAGUACCUACGACAAUAAUUUGAUGGAAGAAGAAGGUACAUAUUUCCUAUAUUUUGUUUUAUUAUUAUUAGAAUAAUAGGUUUUUGUUAGACAGUGUGAUUUUAAA